GAAAUAGAGAGGCGAUGAGGACACAGAGAAAGAAGCAGAAAAAGGGGUAGGCGAUGAAAUGCGACAUGGAGAAAGAAACAGAGAAAGAGGCAGAGUUCCUGGAAAAAUGGCCAUCUAAAAUUCUGCGACGCUCCUAGAAAGGGAAAGCGCAAAAAAAACCUCAAAAACUUAUAAACACCAUUCAAGCAGUGCGAAGACUUAAAAACAUCAAGCGGUGCAGUCAUUUGGCCAAACGCACGCAUACAAAUACAGAACCCCUCCCUCCAUUGUUUUAGAUGUUCAUUCUAACUUCUCUUACCAAUUUCCCUUCCCUUUUUCACUGCUUUGUUCGUUCUCUGCCCUGUCACUUUUCUACCGCCAGACUUAGACCACCGGAACGGCAAACUUGCUUGCUCUUCUCAAAAAAAAAAAAAAAAAGACUUGCUGUACGGAGAAAGAGGAAGAGCACAGAGACCGAAAAACCAACCGGUUAAAAACUUAAAAUAUGAAAAGCCUUGAGAUUCAAAUGUGGAGAGGGAGAGGCAAAGUUCGUAAGCCGCACCAAGGCUUGCGAGCACCAUCAGUUUUCCCGCCUCCAACCGUUUCCUCGCCAUACUCAGCCCAUCGGAACCGCAAGGACACAAAGAUGUAAUCCGUAAGGUGCACCGUUACCAUCAGGUCAUCGGAACUACCACCGGAGGGAGUGGAUGUGGAUGACAUGAAGAAACGGUUGAAGGAAAUGGAGGAAGAAGUGGCUGCACUGCAUGAGAUGCAAGCCAAGGUCGAAUCCCACAUGGUUCUGCAAGAAGAAGAAGGAUUUCAAAUGGGUGUUAUGCAUGUGGCUGAAUGAGCAAGCAUACAAGGAGGAAAGCUUUUUUAGACAAACAGCUCAAACUCAACAACAAAAAUAAGAUGGAAUCCAGAAUCUCGCCUUUUGUUUAGGGUACUUUCGGCAUAUAUAUUUUUCUUUAACAUUCAUUCUUAUUUCAUGAAGUCCUUAUGUCUCUCAUUCUCUUUAGUGAAUGAUGUGAAUGUGAUGUACUUUUGUAAAGAUUGAAUGCUGGAGUUUUCUUUUGGAAUGUUUGGAAUUAUUAUGUUGUACAUU
Molecule: long non-coding RNA, 1084 nt
Organism: Quercus lobata
Lineage: Eukaryota; Viridiplantae; Streptophyta; Magnoliopsida; Fagales; Fagaceae
Exons: 3
Source: RefSeq, a predicted model, not a curated record